RNAcentral lists this long non-coding RNA (907 nucleotides) under Sinocyclocheilus grahami. RNAcentral describes it as "lncRNA (ENSSGRG00000018867.1)". Lineage: Eukaryota; Metazoa; Chordata; Actinopteri; Cypriniformes; Cyprinidae. The record is from RNAcentral.
AGCAAGUUAUUGUUAGGGCAGGGAGGAGGACAGUACACUUGUUAUCAGGUAUCGUAUAUAUACAUGCUGUGCUCAUCUCCCUCAUUAAUUCCAGAUCAACACUACAGACUAAGAAGGUAAGAAGGAUAUUGUCAGACUAUUUUUACAGUACUUUUAGUCAUAUAUAUAUCGACACGCACACAUUCAUUAUCAUUAAUUAUUUUUUUAUUACUGUCAGUUUGAUAAAGACACAAAGAUGGUAUCCCGCACGUUGGUUCUGAUCAUGUUUUUAGGUGCCCUCUGUGUUGCCCAGGCACUGAGGUGCAACUACUGCCAGAAGAUUGACAAAGACCAUCCCACCUGUAAUGAGAUAGAGGAGAAAGAAUGCAGCAGUGGAUUUGACAAUUGCAUUACAAUCAAAAUGCAUCAUCCAGCCUGUGAGUUGACCAUAUUCUUUUCCUCAUAUGUUGAAACUGAUAAAAAUAGGAUAGUUCCUUAUUUAAGUUCUAUUGCAUGUGUAAACUGAGAUUUAGUUGCAUCAGUUGAUGGAGUGCAAUCAUUUGUUGUGAGUAUUAUUUAAUUUGUGAAAGCUAUUCUGCAUUUCUUCUUGUAGAUGGUGAGGUGCGCAGAUGUGCCAAAACUAAUGAGUGUGAUGCUCAGGUGCCUCCUCAGGUGGAGAAAGUGUGCUGCAACACAGAUCUCUGCAACUGAUCUGCUUCAUCAGCCAAAUAUAUUUUACAAUGAUCUGUUUUUAUCUCAUGCUACAUAAAAUGUUCAAAACAUACAGCUAUCAUUGUUAUUAAUUGACUUUAAUUUAAUAUAUGUAAAUGCAAGUAGAGAAUAAUAUAAAGAAAUAAACUCUGGCCAGCAAAACAAAAAACAAUGAUGAUUCUUUGUGUUUUCUAAAACAUUUUAUCUUCUUGUACAU